GGAAGUAAAAGUCGUAACAAGGUCUCCGUUGGUGAACCAGCGGAGGGUCAUUACCGAGUUUUCAACUCCCUAACCCUUCUGUGAACCUACCUAUCGUUGCUUCGGCGGACUCGCCCCAGCCCGGACGCGGACUGGACCAGCGGCCCGCCGGGGACCUCAAACUCUUGUAUUCCAGCAUCUUCUGAAUACGCCGCAAGGCAAAACAAAUGAAUCAAAACUUUCAACAACGGAUCUCUUGGCUCUGGCAUCGAUGAGAACGCAGCGAAACGCGAUAAGUAAUGUGAAUUGCAGAAUCCAGUGAAUCAUCGAAUCUUUGAACGCACAUUGCGCCCGCCAGCAUUCUGGCGGGCAUGCCUGUUCGAGCGUCAUUUCACCCUCGCCCCCCCUUGGGGAGGUCGGCGUUGGGGACCGGCAGCACACCGCCGGCCCUGAAAUGGAGUGGCGGCCCGUCCGCGCGACCUUGCGUAGUAAUACAGCUCGCACCGGAACCCCGACGCGGCCACGCCGUAAAACACCCAACUUCUGAACGUUGACCUCGAAUCAGGUAGGACUACCCGCUGAACUUAAGCAUACAAUAAGCGGAGA
This 585-nucleotide ribosomal RNA is filed under the name Beauveria bassiana. RNAcentral describes it as "eukaryotic LSU rRNA". The stretch from base 216 to 368 matches the Rfam family "5.8S ribosomal RNA". The record is from RNAcentral. Lineage: Eukaryota; Fungi; Ascomycota; Sordariomycetes; Hypocreales; Cordycipitaceae.